CAAGCAUACGUAAGUAUAUAUGGUACAAAAAGAAUAACGAAUACGACUCGAUGAAACCGCCGCUCAAAUCUCCAAGAGAAAGCUACGCAUAUGCAGUAUGUAUAAGCAUGGCACACAUGCUUCUACUGCAUAAUCUUCGCCACGAGCAGGGAUACCAGCGCGGACGACACCACGGCCACGGCGGACGCCGCCGGAGCGGAGGCCGCCCCGGCGAUCGGAGAGGGCGCGGGCGCGGACGACGGCGCCGUGGUGAACUCCUGCGCCGACGCGGAGGCGACGAGCACGGCCGCGGCGAGGAGCAGCACGGAGGCGAAGCGUGAAGCCAUCUCGGGACGAUCGACUUGCUGGAAGGCUUUGAACUUGCUUGCUAGCUCUCGAAGACUCUGCUGCGGCGGUGGCGGUGGCGGUGGCGGUGUGCGUGUACUCUGCUGCGGAUUGCGAUGCUGCGAUGGGGGGAGGAGGUUUAUAUAGGCCGCCCAAGCGGAGGGCUGCGCCGUGGGAUCGGCGGGUCGCAGUCGUGGGUUUAAUUUCUCUCCGUGUCCGCGCGCGUCUGCGUUCCUUCCGCGGGGGGCACGGCACGGCAC
This 584-nucleotide long non-coding RNA is filed under the name Setaria viridis. RNAcentral describes it as "long non-coding RNA (SVIR_LNC004257)". Lineage: Eukaryota; Viridiplantae; Streptophyta; Magnoliopsida; Poales; Poaceae. The record is from RNAcentral.